RNAcentral lists this small RNA (101 nucleotides) under Brochothrix campestris. RNAcentral's name for it is "Guanidine-I sequence". It matches the Rfam family "Guanidine-I riboswitch aptamer". Rfam says of the family: This family represents a conserved RNA structure found upstream of the ykkC and yxkD genes in Bacillus subtilis and related genes in other bacteria. Lineage: Bacteria; Bacillati; Bacillota; Bacilli; Caryophanales; Listeriaceae. RNAcentral also lists the same sequence under 1 other name. The record is from RNAcentral.
CGAAAACAUUUCUAGGGUUCCGUAACUUCAUCGUUAGUCUGGUCCGAGAGAAAUGCGCAACGGUUGCCGUUGUGACACGGAAGGACAAAAGCCUGGGAGAA